GACGAACGCUGGCGGCGUGCCUAAUACAUGCAAGUAGAACGCUGAAGGAGGAGCUUGCUCUUCUGGAUGAGUUGCGAACGGGUGAGUAACGCGUAGGUAACCUGCCUGGUAGUGGGGGAUAACUAUUGGAAACGAUAGCUAAUACCGCAUAAUAACAGUUGUUGCAUGACAACUGUUUGAAAGGUGCAAUUGCAUCACUACCAGAUGGACCUGCGUUGUAUUAGCUAGUUGGUGGGGUAACGGCUCACCAAGGCGACGAUACAUAGCCGACCUGAGAGGGUGAUCGGCCACACUGGGACUGAGACACGGCCCAG
RNAcentral lists this ribosomal RNA (314 nucleotides) under uncultured Streptococcus sp. Its description in RNAcentral is "bacterial SSU rRNA". It matches the Rfam family "Bacterial small subunit ribosomal RNA", at positions 28 to 334 of the family's 1533-position model. The record is from RNAcentral. Lineage: Bacteria; Bacillati; Bacillota; Bacilli; Lactobacillales; Streptococcaceae.